CACGCCGUAAACGAUGAAUACUCGCUGUUUGCGAUAUAGUGCAAGCGGCCAAGCGAAAGCAUUAAGUAUUCCACCUGGGGAGUACGUUCGCAAGAAUGAAACUCAAAGGAAUUGACGGGGGCCCGCACAAGCGGAGGAACAUGUGGUUUAAUUCGAUGAUACGCGAGGAACCUUACCCGGGCUUGAAAUGCAAUCGACUGACUUGGAAACAGGUCAUCCAGCAAUGGCGAUUGUGUAGGUGC
RNAcentral lists this ribosomal RNA (242 nucleotides) under uncultured Paludibacter sp. RNAcentral's name for it is "partial 16S ribosomal RNA". It matches the Rfam family "Bacterial small subunit ribosomal RNA", at positions 796 to 1041 of the family's 1533-position model. Lineage: Bacteria; Pseudomonadati; Bacteroidota; Bacteroidia; Bacteroidales; Paludibacteraceae. The record is from RNAcentral.